Molecule: ribosomal RNA, 501 nt
Rfam family: Bacterial large subunit ribosomal RNA
CGCCUCUUGCAUAUAUUAUAAGAGGUCUUGCCUGCCCAGUGACGCAAGUUUAACGGCCGCGGUAUUUUGACCGUGCAAAGGUAGCGUAAUCAAUCGUCUUUUAAAUGGAGACCUGUAUGAAUGGUAAAACGAAAACUCAACUGUCUCAUUCUUUCAGCCAAUGAAAUUGAUCUCUCCGUGCAGAAGCGGGGAUAUACACAUAAGACAAGAAGACCCUGUGGAGCUUUAGAUCUCUACUUAUAUCUUAGAUUGGGGCGAUCACGGAGAAAACAAACCCUCCAUGAAGAAAAACAUAGUUAAGAGUUACAGCUCCAAACACUAAUACAUUUUAAUUCUAUGAACCGGCCUGCCGAUUAACGAACCUAGUUACCCCAGGGAUAACAGCGCAAUCCCCUUAAAGAGCACUUAUCACUAAGGGGGUUUACGACCUCGAUGUUGGAUCAGGACAUCCUAAUGGCGCACCAACUAUUAAGGGUUCGUUUGUUCAACGAUUAAAGUCCU